RNAcentral lists this ribosomal RNA (466 nucleotides) under uncultured bacterium. RNAcentral describes it as "bacterial SSU rRNA". It matches the Rfam family "Bacterial small subunit ribosomal RNA", at positions 8 to 488 of the family's 1533-position model. The record is from RNAcentral.
AGAGUUUGAUCAUGGCUCAGGAUGAACGCUGGCGGCGUGCUUAACACAUGCAAGUCGAACGAUGAUCCCAGCUUGCUGGGGGAUUAGUGGCGAACGGGUGAGUAACACGUGAGUAACCUGCCCUUAACUCUGGGAUAAGCCUGGGAAACUGGGUCUAAUACCGGAUAUGACUCCUCAUCGCAUGGUGGGGGGUGGAAAGCUUUAUUGUGGUUUUGGAUGGACUCGCGGCCUAUCAGCUUGUUGGUGAGGUAAUGGCCCACCAAGGCGACGACGGGUAGCCGGCCUGAGAGGGUGACCGGCCACACUGGGACUGAGACACGGCCCAGACUCCUACGGGAGGCAGCAGUGGGGAAUAUUGCACAAUGGGCGAAAGCCUGAUGCAGCGACGCCGCGUGAGGGAUGACGGCCUUCGGGUUGUAAACCUCUUUCAGUAGGGAAGAAGCGAAAGUGACGGUACCNCAGAAGA